GCGGAUAAAGUUUUUUGGUAUUCCGGAAUUUUUAAUGCACAUUGGAAAAUCCAGUUGGUUAAAACUUCAAAAAGUGGUCACAUGCCAAUCAUACAGAACUUGAUGGAAGCAAAGUAUUCUCGAUUCAAAUCUACCCAAUGAAGCAACAGUAGCAACAUACAGAAUCAUUUCAUGGAGAUGCCUUCGAAAUGGUUUCUUCCCUUUUCUCAGCAUGCAUGUGGCUCGGUAGGAGUUUCAAAGCCAAUGGUUUUCCAGAGAUUUAGACGUUACCUAAAACUUAGAAUAUCCCUUCU
This 293-nucleotide long non-coding RNA is filed under the name Brassica napus (rape). RNAcentral describes it as "long non-coding RNA (BNAP_LNC020986)". Lineage: Eukaryota; Viridiplantae; Streptophyta; Magnoliopsida; Brassicales; Brassicaceae. The record is from RNAcentral.